This is a long non-coding RNA of Brassica oleracea var. oleracea, 2001 nucleotides long. RefSeq lists it as uncharacterized. The record is from RefSeq and is a predicted model, not a curated record. The transcript has 7 exons. Lineage: Eukaryota; Viridiplantae; Streptophyta; Magnoliopsida; Brassicales; Brassicaceae.
AUUGUUUGGCAUGGGAUUGGGCUUUAGACUUGGUAUGUUCGAGAGAAACGAAGAAGGUCGUCUCUUUUUUUUUUAACAACUAAGAAGGUCGUCUCUCUUCUACCUGCGACGGCGCCUGAUGCUGUUUGGGAUUCUUUUCACCGUCUGAAACGAUCUGCGUAAAGGUUUCGUAAUUAUUGAUUCGCUCUCGCUCCCCUCCCACUACGUGUCUUCAAUGCUUUGUUUUGACAUACUAAACGUGUUCUUCACGGGGUGGUAAAACAGAGCAACAGAUGGAGGAAUAAAACCUCUUCAUGUGGCGGCUCUAAAGCGACACAUAGAAAGGAUGCAGUUACUCUUGGAUUUGGGAGCUUUUGUUGCUCAUAUCACUAGAAGAUGGAACCCCAAUAGAUCUUAUAGGUUAUUCUUCUAAAGGAGAUCUAUAAAUGUAUAUAUAUUUAUAUUUGUGAGAUUUAUAACUCUAAAUUACGUCUGUAGGUUUAUCUGCAUACUGUAGAGAUUCUGAGAAGUACAUAAUAAAACUAUCACAGGUUCGCCUUAAUAUUGUUGUUUUAUAUCCUGUUAGUUGAGCAAGUAAUGUUGUUAUGUAUUCUCACGAUCUAUUGCCAAUAUUUUCACUUGCUUAAAGGUUGCUGAAAAUAUAUAUAUAUAUUCCUACUUUCACAUCUGGAAAGCAUGAAGUUCUCAAUUUUUGAAGUUGUAUUUCCCCAUCUGAAGUUAGUUUCUUCUUCCAUAAUAAUGAAAGAUUCUUCUAUAAAAUCAACAUCAGCCAAUGGUGUUUUAGAAAAAAAGUGUAUGAAGGUGUAACAACAUCGUAGAAGUUUGUUGGAGGGAUUUACAAAGACUCAGAUGGGAAGUUUUGAGGUCACAAAAGGAGAGAUAACUCCAGCUGGAACAACAAGGGAGUAAAAACAAAGUAAUUGAGUAGGAGAGAAUGGAAAGCUUUCAAAUACACAGAUUUUCUUCUGAUGAUUCAGAAGAGAAAUGUAGACGACGCUUGCUACCUCGGCGAUCCAACGGUCCGUGAGUUCCAAGAAGCUUGCUCUGAGCACCACCUCCUGAAAGGCCAAGGCGUUGGAGGACAAGCCUUCUUGACCAACGGUCCUUGCUUCUCACCUGAUGUCUCUAACUACAAGAAGUCAGAGUACCCUCACUCUCACCACGCUAAUAUGUUCGGUCUGCACGGCGCCGUUGCGAUACGCCUGAGAUGCAUCCACACUGGGGAUGCUGAUUUCGUCUUGGAGUUUUUUUUUGCCUAAGGACUGUGAUAAUAUGGAGGAGCAGAGGAAAAUGUUGAACGCUCUUUCGACCAUUAUGGCUCAUGUGCCUAGGAGCUUGAGGACUGUUACGGAUAAAGAGCUGGAAGAAGAGAGUGAAGUGGUGGAAAGGGAGGAGGUAGUGACGCCUAAGAUAGAGAACACAUCGGAGCUACAUCAUAGUAAUCCUCAGAAUCUUGGAUUUGUGUUUGAUGGAGGAGACAAGCUGCCAACUGAUGGUUUUGGUUUGAAAAGAGGUUAUGACUACACUAAAGAUUCUAAUAUCAAUGAGAGCAACACUUUCACCAGUGGUGGUUUUAAUAGUAUGGCUGAGAAGAAGCGUACAAAGGCAGAUAAAACCAUCACUUUGGAUGUUCUUAGACAGUACUUCGGUGGGAGUCUUAAAGAUGCAGCCAAGAGUAUUGGUGUGGUAUUGUUGUGUCGAUGGUGAUGCAAUAUGCAGAGAAUAUUGUAAAGGUUUAUUCAACAUCAGUGCCACUGCUUCUCACUGCAGUUGUCUUUGUAUACUUAUUCAGUUUUCAUGUUUCAUUAACCUUCUUCCUGGGCUCAAGAGAUGUGAAAUGGUCAACUGAAAUCUUUUAGGAUGAAUGUAUAUAUUGUUAUUGUAAUUUUUUUGUCCUAUUGAUAUGUAAAGCAAAACAAAGGAGUUUGCGUAUGAGAGAGAGAGAGAAUCACUACUUUUCUUCAGUUUACGGCUAGGGUUUCAUCAUAUUCAUUACGUUUA